This 730-nucleotide ribosomal RNA is filed under the name uncultured bacterium. RNAcentral describes it as "bacterial SSU rRNA". It matches the Rfam family "Bacterial small subunit ribosomal RNA", at positions 771 to 1501 of the family's 1533-position model. The record is from RNAcentral.
AACAGGAUUAGAUACCCUGGUAGUCCACGCCGUAAACGAUGUCGACUUGGAGGUUGUGCCCUUGAGGCGUGGCUUCCGGAGCUAACGCGUUAAGUCGACCGCCUGGGGAGUACGGCCGCAAGGUUAAAACUCAAAUGAAUUGACGGGGGCCCGCACAAGCGGUGGAGCAUGUGGUUUAAUUCGAUGCAACGCGAAGAACCUUACCUACUCUUGACAUCCAGAGAACUUAGCAGAGAUGCUUUGGUGCCUUCGGGAACUCUGAGACAGGUGCUGCAUGGCUGUCGUCAGCUCGUGUUGUGAAAUGUUGGGUUAAGUCCCGCAACGAGCGCAACCCUUAUCCUUUGUUGCCAGCGGUUAGGCCGGGAACUCAAAGGAGACUGCCAGUGAUAAACUGGAGGAAGGUGGGGAUGACGUCAAGUCAUCAUGGCCCUUACGAGUAGGGCUACACACGUGCUACAAUGGCGCAUACAAAGAGAAGCGACCUCGCGAGAGCAAGCGGACCUCAUAAAGUGCGUCGUAGUCCGGAUUGGAGUCUGCAACUCGACUCCAUGAAGUCGGAAUCGCUAGUAAUCGUGGAUCAGAAUGCCACGGUGAAUACGUUCCCGGGCCUUGUACACACCGCCCGUCACACCAUGGGAGUGGGCUGCAAAAGAAGUAGGUAGCUUAACCUUCGGGAGGGCGCUUACCACUUUGUGAUUCAUGACUGGGGUGAAGUCGUAACAAGGUAACC